Molecule: ribosomal RNA, 460 nt
Filed under: uncultured bacterium
Lineage: Bacteria
Description: partial 16S ribosomal RNA
Rfam family: Bacterial small subunit ribosomal RNA
Source: RNAcentral
CCUACGGGUGGCUGCAGUGAGGAAUAUUGGUCAAUGGACGCAAGUCUGAACCAGCCAUGCCGCGUGCAGGAAGACGGCUCUAUGAGUUGUAAACUGCGUUUGUACUAGGGUAAACGCACAUACGCGUAUCUGUAUGAAAGUACCGUAUGAAUAAGGAUCGGCUAACUCCGUGACAGGUGCCGCGGUAAUACGGAGGGUUCAAGCGUUAUCCGGAUUUAUUGGGUUUAAAGGGGUCGUAGGCGGUCGGUUAAGUUAGAGGUGAAAUCCCGGGGCUCAACUUCGUUAUUGCAUCUGAUACUGUUCGGCUAGAGAGUAGUUGCGGUAGGCGGAAUGUAUGGUGUAGCGGUGAAAUGCUUAGAGAUCAUACAGAACACCGAUUGCGAAGGCAGCUUACCGGGCUACUUCUGACGUUGAGGCACGAAAGCGUGGGGAGCAAACAGGAUUAGAUACCCUGGUAGUC